AGGUGCAAAGAAAACAUGUUUAUGACCUUAGGCAAUUAAUUUUAACAGGUGAUUCCGAAAGUUGUUCACAACACAUAUUCCAGUAGUAAAUCUGCUUGCAUUGUGAGUUCUUUCGGAAAAAGUGUGAUUGGCAUACUGGUACAUGCAAGCUGUUGUAGAUGAAAUCAUUUUUGGAAAUGUUGAUCCACUGAAG
Camellia sinensis is the source of this 193-nucleotide non-coding RNA. NCBI's taxonomy places the organism in Eukaryota, Viridiplantae, Streptophyta, Magnoliopsida, Ericales, Theaceae. The record is from RefSeq and is a predicted model, not a curated record.